RNAcentral lists this ribosomal RNA (1417 nucleotides) under Pediococcus pentosaceus. RNAcentral's name for it is "bacterial SSU rRNA". It matches the Rfam family "Bacterial small subunit ribosomal RNA". Lineage: Bacteria; Bacillati; Bacillota; Bacilli; Lactobacillales; Lactobacillaceae. The record is from RNAcentral.
GACGUACUUGUACUGAUUGAGAUUUUAACACGAAGUGAGUGGCGAACGGGUGAGUAACACGUGGGUAACCUGCCCAGAAGUAGGGGAUAACACCUGGAAACAGAUGCUAAUACCGUAUAACAGAGAAAACCGCAUGGUUUUCUUUUAAAGAUGGCUCUGCUAUCACUUCUGGAUGGACCCGCGGCGUAUUAGCUAGUUGGUGAGGCAAAGGCUCACCAAGGCAGUGAUACGUAGCCGACCUGAGAGGGUAAUCGGCCACAUUGGGACUGAGACACGGCCCAGACUCCUACGGGAGGCAGCAGUAGGGAAUCUUCCACAAUGGACGCAAGUCUGAUGGAGCAACGCCGCGUGAGUGAAGAAGGGUUUCGGCUCGUAAAGCUCUGUUGUUAAAGAAGAACGUGGGUAAGAGUAACUGUUUACCCAGUGACGGUAUUUAACCAGAAAGCCACGGCUAACUACGUGCCAGCAGCCGCGGUAAUACGUAGGUGGCAAGCGUUAUCCGGAUUUAUUGGGCGUAAAGCGAGCGCAGGCGGUCUUUUAAGUCUAAUGUGAAAGCCUUCGGCUCAACCGAAGAAGUGCAUUGGAAACUGGGAGACUUGAGUGCAGAAGAGGACAGUGGAACUCCAUGUGUAGCGGUGAAAUGCGUAGAUAUAUGGAAGAACACCAGUGGCGAAGGCGGCUGUCUGGUCUGCAACUGACGCUGAGGCUCGAAAGCAUGGGUAGCGAACAGGAUUAGAUACCCUGGUAGUCCAUGCCGUAAACGAUGAUUACUAAGUGUUGGAGGGUUUCCGCCCCUUCAGUGCUGCAGCUAACGCAUUAAGUAAUCCGCCUGGGGAGUACGACCGCAAGGUUGAAACUCAAAAGAAUUGACGGGGGCCCGCACAAGCGGUGGAGCAUGUGGUUUAAUUCGAAGCUACGCGAAGAACCUUACCAGGUCUUGACAUCUUCUGACAGUCUAAGAGAUUAGAGGUUCCCUUCGGGGACAGAAUGACAGGUGGUGCAUGGUUGUCGUCAGCUCGUGUCGUGAGAUGUUGGGUUAAGUCCCGCAACGAGCGCAACCCUUAUUACUAGUUGCCAGCAUUAAGUUGGGCACUCUAGUGAGACUGCCGGUGACAAACCGGAGGAAGGUGGGGACGACGUCAAAUCAUCAUGCCCCUUAUGACCUGGGCUACACACGUGCUACAAUGGAUGGUACAACGAGUCGCGAGACCGCGAGGUUAAGCUAAUCUCUUAAAACCAUUCUCAGUUCGGACUGUAGGCUGCAACUCGCCUACACGAAGUCGGAAUCGCUAGUAAUCGCGGAUCAGCAUGCCGCGGUGAAUACGUUCCCGGGCCUGUACACACCGCCCGUCACACCAUGAGAGUUUGUAACACCCAAAGCCGGUGGGGUAACCUUUUAGGAGCUAGCCGUCUAAGG